Long non-coding RNA from Spinacia oleracea (spinach), 923 nucleotides. RefSeq lists it as uncharacterized. The record is from RefSeq and is a predicted model, not a curated record. NCBI's taxonomy places the organism in Eukaryota, Viridiplantae, Streptophyta, Magnoliopsida, Caryophyllales, Amaranthaceae. The transcript is spliced from 3 exons.
AGUCUCAAAAAUUUUCUCGUGUUGUAGGGACUUAAUUUUAUUUUUCAUUUUCAAAAUUUUCAAUUCUUCCAUUCUUCCCUCACUUCAGCUCUACCGGAAACACCUCCCUUCUUCUUCUUCGAUCUUCCUCUCUGCUUUGUUCACCUUCCCAUCUACUUUGUUCAUCUUCCUCUCUACUUUGUUCACCUCUGGGUUUUUUCUCUCUCCUCUGCUUCUCAGUCACUCUCCUAUACUCCUCUUAUCUGGUCCGGUAGAAAAAUAUUUCACAAGCAGACCUAACUUGCCGUAAUUCAACCACGGAGACCUAGCUUGCCGGGAUUUUGAUUUGGAAUUAAGUUUAAGAAAUUAGGGUUUGUGAAUUAGAAUUUGGGGAUUUGGGAGUUCGGGCUUUUCGUAUCGGCAGCAGAGCACUACUCGGAACCACUCCACAGCAGCAGCGUGAGUGACGGACGACAACCCGCGGUGGUGGUUGGCGGAGCUUGCUAGGGAUAUGUAUCUUACAAGUUUAGGAUCAUGCAGCAGCACUCCAAACAUGCAGAUGUCCUUUGUGUCGCCGUCCCAUUAGCUCGUUAAUACCUAUUGAGGCUUCCCAGCAACAACGCGUUAAUCCAGAAGUUACAAAUAUUUUAGGGAGACUGGAAAUGUAUAAUCGUCGAUAUGGUGAACACUUCAGUGGUUUCAUGCAGGUCUAUACUACGAGGAAUGCGCCUUAUGCUAGUGAGGAAAUUGAUGUGGUCCGUGAGCAAUGGGCUAAUUUUUUUACCAGCAAGUAUUUAUUAUUGGCCUGAGCGCGUUUGAUCGAGUUGGCUUAGAUGUUAUAGAACAAUAUUUUAUAUUAAAAUGUAUGCGUACGUUGAAAUUGGAACGUACAUAUAUUUAAAUGUACUACAUGCACUUUGUAUUGGGAUAUAUAGUAUACAAAA